Molecule: long non-coding RNA, 1560 nt
Filed under: Cyanistes caeruleus (blue tit)
Lineage: Eukaryota; Metazoa; Chordata; Aves; Passeriformes; Paridae
Description: lncRNA (ENSCCEG00000004295.1)
Source: RNAcentral
GCCACUCCCACACCCUAAGCCACGCCCACCUCGUGCUCUGAUUGGCCAGCGCCUCCAACGCCCACAGCACGGCCUCGGGGCUGUGGCCAAUCAGCAGAGCCUGCAGGGGGCGCCAAGUGUCAGGAAAAGGGGCGGGGCCACAGGUAAAGCCACGCCCCUUCCCUGCAAGCCACGCCCACCUCAGCCUGCUCCAGCCAAUCGUGAGCCUCAGCCAGCUCCUCCUGCGGCUCCCUGCAGUGAUUGGUGCCGCCGGGGGUUAAUUAAUGCGUUAAUUAAUGCGUUAAUUAAGGAGUUAAUUAAGGAGUUGUGUAAGGGGCCUUACCUGGGGGGAUGGGCCCACUGUAGCUCCGCCUCCCUGGAUUUGCAUAAAGCCUUGAUUGACACCUGGGGGGGAUUGAUGGGAUUUGGGGUGUGACCAGCUCAGGCCACGCCCACCCCGAGGCCACGCCCACUCACCAGCACUUCCGGCUCCGCCCCCGAGGCCAAGAUGGCCGAAAGCUCCACCCAGGACUGGCCUGGCCUGAGGGGAGGGACCCAAAAAUCCCAUCAGGAACCCAAAAUCCCCUCAGGAUCCCAGAAAAUCCCUUCAGGAACCCCAAAAAAUCCCCUCAGGAUCCCAAAAAUUCCAUCAGGAUCCCAAAAAUUCCAUCAGGAACCCAAAAAAUCCCAUCAGAGACCCCAAAAAUCCCAUCAGGAUCCCAAAAAUUCCAUCAGAGACCCCAAAAUCCUCUCAGGAUCCCAAAAAUCCCAUCAGGAUCCCAAAAAUUCCAUCAGAGACCCCAAAAAUCCCAUCAGGAACCCAAAAAAUCCCAUCAGGAACCCAAAAAUUCCAUCAGGAUCCCAAAGAAUUCCAUCAGGAACCCCAAAAAUCCCAUCAGAGACCCCAAAAAUCCAUCAGAGACCCCAAAAAAUCCCUUCAGAGACCCCAAAAUCCUAUCAGGAUCCCAAAAAUCCAUCAGAGACCCCAAAAAUUCCAUCAGGAUCCCAAAAUUCCAUCAGGAUCCCAAAAAAUUUCAGCAGGAUCCCAAAAAUCCCCUCAGGAUCCCAAAAAUUCCAUCAGAGACCCCAAAAUCCCAUCAGGAUCCCAAAAAAUUUCAGCAGGAUCCCAAAAAUUCCAUCAGAGACCCCAAAAUCCCAUCAGGAUCCCAAAAUCCCCUCAGGAUCCCCAAAAUCCCCUCAGGAUCCCAAAAAAUCCUCUCAGGAUCCCAAAAAAUUCCAUCAGAGACCCCAAAAUCCCAUCAGGAUCCCCAAAUCCGUUCAGGAUCCCAAAAUCCCUUCAGGAUCCCAGAAAAUUUCAGCAGGAUCCCAAAAAAUCCCAUCAGAGACCCCAAAAUCCCCUCAGGAUCCCAAAAAUCCCAUCAGGAUCCCAAAAUUCCAUCAGGAUCCCAAAAAAUUUCAGCAGGAUCCCAAAAAAUUCCAUCAGAGACCCCAAAAUCCCCUCAGGACCCCCCAAAAUCCCCUCAGGAUCCCAAAAUUUUCACCAGAGACCCCAAAAUCCCCUCCCCACCUUCCAAAUUCCCCCCAAAAAAUCCCCCAAACCCCCAAAUUCCUCCUCUAGGA